Molecule: small nucleolar RNA, 210 nt
Filed under: Phoenicopterus ruber ruber
Lineage: Eukaryota; Metazoa; Chordata; Aves; Phoenicopteriformes; Phoenicopteridae
Description: Small nucleolar RNA U3
Rfam family: Small nucleolar RNA U3
About the family: Small nucleolar RNAs (snoRNAs) are involved in the processing and modification of rRNA in the nucleolus. There are two main classes of snoRNAs: the box C/D class, and the box H/ACA class. U3 snoRNA is a member of the box C/D class.
Source: Rfam by way of RNAcentral
AAGACUAUACUUUCAGGGAUCAUUUCUGUAGUCGGUAACUAGAGGAGAGUGAUCUCACUUGGACGGCGUCACAAGCCACGAGGAGGAGCAGGGUGCUCUCUCCUGAGCGCGAAGCGGGCGGGCGGUGCUGCCUGGGCAGGGGCCGCCCGUCAUUGAUGACCGUUCCCGCCCUUUCGGGGGCUGGGAGGGAGAGAGCACAGGCUGAGUGGU